GACGAACGCUGGCGGCGUGCCUAACACAUGCAAGUCGAGCGGGGUUGAGGCGAGAGGUAACUCGAACUUCUACCUAGCGGCGGACGGGUGAGUAACGCGUGGGCAACCUGCCUCAAGGUUUGGGAUAACAGCCCGAAAGGGCUGCUAAUACCGGAUAUGCCUAUGGCCUCGCGUGGGGCUAUGAGCAAAGGGGAAACCCGCCUUGAGAUGGGCCCGCGUCCCAUCAGCUAGUUGGUGAGGUAACAGCUCACCAAGGCGACGACGGGUAGCCGGCCUGAGAGGGUGACCGGCCACACUGGGACUGAGACACGGCCCAGACUCCUACGGGGGGCAGCAGUGGGGGAUCUUGCACAAUGGGCGAAAGCCUGAUGCAGCGACGCCGCGUGAGCGAAGAAGGCCUUCGGGUUGUAAAGCUCUGUCUGGAGGGACGAACAAAAUGACGGUACCUCCGGAGGAAGCCACGGCUAACUACGUG
Molecule: ribosomal RNA, 475 nt
Filed under: uncultured bacterium
Lineage: Bacteria
Description: bacterial SSU rRNA
Rfam family: Bacterial small subunit ribosomal RNA
Source: RNAcentral